Molecule: small nucleolar RNA, 121 nt
Filed under: Echinops telfairi (small Madagascar hedgehog)
Lineage: Eukaryota; Metazoa; Chordata; Mammalia; Afrosoricida; Tenrecidae
Description: Small nucleolar RNA SNORA61 (ENSETEG00000026715.1)
Source: RNAcentral
ACCCUCCGGGAUCCUUGUCCCUCAGAUCUAAAUGUUGGUCUGAUUGGCUGAAAAAGGAGGAAGAAUAAAACUGAAGUAGAGUUGGAGUCUUUAAUGACUUACAAGUUCAUUUCAAGCAUAG